This 74-nucleotide transfer RNA is filed under the name Oscillospiraceae bacterium. Its description in RNAcentral is "tRNA-Gln". It matches the Rfam family "tRNA". From Rfam's summary of the family: Transfer RNA (tRNA) molecules are approximately 80 nucleotides in length. Their secondary structure includes four short double-helical elements and three loops (D, anti-codon, and T loops). Further hydrogen bonds mediate the characteristic L-shaped molecular structure. tRNAs have two regions of fundamental functional importance: the anti-codon, which is responsible for specific mRNA codon recognition, and the 3' end, to which the tRNAs corresponding amino acid is attached (by aminoacyl-tRNA synthetases). tRNAs cope with the degeneracy of the genetic code in two manners: having more than one tRNA (with a specific anti-codon) for a particular amino acid; and 'wobble' base-pairing, i.e. permitting non-standard base-pairing at the 3rd anti-codon position. Lineage: Bacteria; Bacillati; Bacillota; Clostridia; Eubacteriales; Oscillospiraceae. The record is from RNAcentral.
AGCGGGUUUGUGUAAUGGUAGCACGACAGACUCUGACUCUGUUUGUGAGGGUUCAAAUCCUUCACCCGCUGCCA